Non-coding RNA from Pelobates cultripes (western spadefoot toad), 234 nucleotides. NCBI's taxonomy places the organism in Eukaryota, Metazoa, Chordata, Amphibia, Anura, Pelobatidae. The record is from the annotation of a GenBank genome assembly.
GAGUAUUUUCAGAGAUCCAGGCUGUCCUGGAUCUAUAGCACUAUAUUUAAAUAACAUUUUAUUUUUUUUCUUCUAGCAAGAUAAAUGUGUUACCGAGCCACUAUAUACAAGCGAUUUCAAUUAUGAAAGCACAAGUGAAAUCAGGCAUUUUCAAUGUUUUUUUUUACUAAAAUGAGAAAGCGAAUUUCACAUUUAAAGCCAAAGUAGCCGAACUGUAAAGCUUCUCCAAGACAG